UCAGGAUAUAGUUUAUAAAGAAUUCUGGCUUUGGAAGCCAGGGGUGUCUGUGUUAUUAGGAUUGUCUUG
RNAcentral lists this transfer RNA (69 nucleotides) under Lutraria rhynchaena. Its description in RNAcentral is "tRNA-Pro". Lineage: Eukaryota; Metazoa; Mollusca; Bivalvia; Venerida; Mactridae. The record is from RNAcentral.